Long non-coding RNA from Raphanus sativus (radish), 1795 nucleotides. RefSeq lists it as uncharacterized. The transcript has 3 exons. The record is from RefSeq and is a predicted model, not a curated record. Lineage: Eukaryota; Viridiplantae; Streptophyta; Magnoliopsida; Brassicales; Brassicaceae.
AGAGGGAAUAAGCUUGGUUUGAAAAGCAUCCAAAAAGCAGAAACGAAUAAAGGAAACCCCAUAAAGGAACGGUUAUCGGAUUUAGAAAAAUAGAAUUGCUAUAAAGCUCAAGCAUAAAGGGCAGACUUGGAUGUAGUUGUGUUAGUCCAACUAUGAAGUUUUUGUUUCAGCUGCCUUGUUGCUCUUGCUUCUGUUUCGUCAAGUCAAAGAAGGGGAAACACAAGGAGGGGGAGAUAAAGAAAGAGUAACAAGAAGAGUCUUCAAAGAGAGAAUGAAUCUUUUUUAUGGUGUCAAUUUGAUGUUACUUCUGUAUCCAUCGAUGAUUAUCUUUGUCAAAAGAAGGCAAGAUCAUUAAGUUAUAAUGUUGCAUCCUCUUCUUGGUUUACAUUCCUACUCAAUCUUUAUUUUUGCUUCAUAAAUGUAUUCUAAAUUAACUCGUUAAUAUGGGCGGCUAUCGGAACUGUUAUACAGUUUGGUUUCUCAUCAAUCCAUUUCAAAUCUGAUUGCUUUUCAACUAAUUAAGAUGAAGGAUCUGUCAUUUUAAGAGAGCAUGUUCCAGUUAUCAAUCUGUUUACUUACUUUAGGUCCGUUUAGUAUCAAAAUAGCCUAAGCUUGUGUGCCAGUUUCAACUACAAGACUCGAUGAGCACAAGGUAACAUGAUGACUGUCAAAAUCCUAAUUUCAAGUAGCCAAAAUGGGGUUUAAAGCCAAGAUCGACCAAAAUGUUUCAUUGCGUAAGACCCACCUAGAAAAUUUAAUUAACAUAUUAUGAAGAAAAAACAAACUAGGCUGGCUUAUAACAAAAAUACAUUUUAAUUAUUGUAAAACCUCGAAGAUGCAGAGAUAUCAUGUACUGCAAUUUGGAAAAUAACAAAGUUCUGUCAUCUAUAGUUUAUAUGAAUACGUGCAAGUUCAUUCAGCAUAACGUUGUAUGAUUAUUUAAUUAAAGUGUUCAUCUUUUAAUGUUCUCCUUCAUCGCUUGCAUUUAGGACUAGAGAAAGUGCAGAAGCAUAGUUACUGAUAUUUUAAUCGAACAAUUUAUAAUGUUUGUGGCAGUGAAGCAAUAUUGACGGUCCACAAAGACCUAGGUGGUGGGUAAACUAAGGUUAUGAUCAGUCAGGAUCCACAAGAAGAGCACUGUCUGAGUUUGCUGAAUACAUGGAGUGGUUCUGGCACUGAAGUAUGGAACCCAGGGAGUUCCUCCAUUCUUCAAGUCCUUCUCUCCUUUCAGGCUCUUGUUCUGAAUGAGAAGCCUUACUUCAACAAAGCUGGCUAUGAUAAGCAGUUGGGCUGAGCUGAGGAAGAGAAAAACUCGCUGAGUUUACAAUGAGAACGCUUUCCUCAUCAUCACCUGCAAAUCCAUGAUUCGUUGCUGCACAAGCCUCCAAAGGGCUCAGCAUGUUCUGGCUGCGUGCAAGGCUUAUAUGGAAGGCGUCCCUGUAGGAUCAUCAACGAAACUGCAGGAGACUUCAACCACAAACUCCACCGGUUUCAGGAUCAUGCUCUCUAAACUCUGCCCAACACUUGUUGAAGCAUUCUCAGAGAUUGGAGUUGAUUGCAGCCAAGGGGUUGCACUUGAAUCAUGACGGUUGACACUGUUGUUAUGUGUAAGAAUAAAGGGCUGUAUAAAUUUAAUAGAUCCAUCUUGUAAAGUAUCAAAGGGUUGUAAUGUUGCAAAGAACCAUGUGUACCAUGUUCUGUGAUAAAAAUUGAAACACUUGUGUGUUGUUGUACAAUACAUAUAGAUUCGAUUUGACUCAUUGUACGUUUAGGUGUAUGAAACUGUCGGCCAAAU